Long non-coding RNA from Cydia pomonella (codling moth), 2492 nucleotides. RefSeq lists it as uncharacterized. Lineage: Eukaryota; Metazoa; Arthropoda; Insecta; Lepidoptera; Tortricidae. The record is from RefSeq and is a predicted model, not a curated record. The transcript has 4 exons.
CGCUCUUUGCUAGGCGGCUACAAACGCGAUGGUGUCAUGGCAGACACAGCACAGACAUGGAGGCACUGCACUGAACACGUGCCGCUUCUGCCUGCGUCGCGCCCUAAACAAGCAAUAGGGAUUUAAAGACACUGCACACCUACUAUCUCGGCUCUAAGGAGAUGAAUUUGUAAAAACUCAACUGAAGGCAGAGAGUGUACUCCGGGUAUCUGUGAGGUGACGGGCUAAUCUGCAAGAGUCUUCAAGGUGUAAGUGCAGGGCAGCUAGGAGAAGCUGAAGAUGCCUAUGGAUUAAGCCUACAAACCUGUAGAUGAAGAUCCUAUGGUGGUGAGACUAGAGUUGCUAGCUGACUAUUUCAACAUGGAAAUGCAUAGAGACAUGUUAACUGACAAGGACGCCGGAUCCUCUUCGGUGUCCUGUUGCCAGCAGCUCGCGAGGGCUUGUUCCGUGAAUCUUGGGCGCCUCCACUCGGCCAACGUGACGUCACUCCACGAGCCGAGCCUGGUGUGGACUACUGUGCCAGGUACAGCAGCAUCACCGGACGCGCCGGGAAAUAGUACAAAUGCGGAGUUUUUACGAAAUACCUCGCUAACUAGACAUCAACAGCACGUAACGUGAUAUCAGCUAUUCACAUCUAGAUUAUUUGUAUAAGCAUAAACAUAUUCAUAAUCAUGACUACACUACACACAUGUUAUAUGUAAAACUGUUAAAUAGGGAAUAUUACGCGAAACUCUGCGUAGGGGGCGCCAUUACCAUAAUCCAUCACAAUCUGAGGGUAUACCGCGAAACAAGAAAAUCGAAAUUUCGUUAUCUAACCUCUCUAUCACUCUUACAUAUUCGAGCGAUGAAGAGGCAGAUAACUAAUUUUCGCCUUUCCCGGAAGGCCCUUUGUAAACAAUCCGCCUUGAUGCAACAGUGUCAUAUUAUAUUAUCUGUGAAAACUUGACAAAAAAGAGUUUAAGGCACAUUAUGUAUAAGUUAUUUUAUGAUUUACGAAAGAUGCCAAUGCUGCACUCUGGCGGCAGAACAUUGCAGUAAUACUCACUAUUAUCAUAGGUACAGUCAUGAAUAUGUAUACAUUUUUUCACCUUAUUCUUAGGUUAAGAAACGUAUACAUAUUUAUGAACUCGACUGUACCUGGACAGGCAUAUGAGGAUUUUUGUUAUUUAGGUAGAAGCAGUUUUUCGACCCAUUUAUGUAAUUUAUUGUCGUUUAAGGCAUCAUAAACGGAUCACACAUGCUAUUAUUUAUCAUGACUUGUGUAUAAGAGCCAUGUAAAGAAUAAUUACGUCUAUAUAUACGUAUAUGUACGUCUGGGGGCAUUCAGGAAAGUGUCGGAUACGUGACGCUGUUUUUAUUUCUAAAAACGAAAAAACUGUUUGGCAUGAUAACAUUUGAUAACUUGGCUUUAAAUUCAUCUGUAUAUAUACAGAUUUCUACAAGUCCCCACACGCGUGCGGGAAUGAGCACUUUCCGUGCGUAUGUCGAAACUUUAAAGAGUCAUAUGUACUGUAAAACAUUGUAGGAUACACAUGCGAAUAGGUAAUGGGGUUGGCCGGUCGAAGUAUUAAACAGAUGGCGCCAUCAUAGCUUGCCCUGUCAAUCCCUAGAAUUGUGUCAAAUUCUUUUUUUUUUUUUUUUUAUUUUGUGACCUAGAUUCCAGUAAUUUAAGCCAAAUCUCAUAGAACAAAACUAGAGACAGGGGCAAGCUAUGAUGGCGCCAUCUAUGCAAACCUUUGACAGUUGCCAACCCCAUUCGCAACUCGUCCCGAUUUAAAACACUCCCUUCGGUAGUGUUUUAAUUUAUCACCACUCGUUGCGAAUUUCCUAUUUUCUGCACUUGUAUCGUAAAUGACUAUUGUGCAUUAACGCCUUGCCUAAGAUGGAUAUGGGGCUCACGUAACCGAUAGGGUCGAAUAGCGACAUCGCGCUGCUUGUAACCUGUCGCUUUGUAGGUAAUUUCUGACCGUUGAGUACGUCCUCGGGCGUGUUACGAAAAUUCACGUUAAAGCCUAGGGUGUCACGCUUGUGAUUCCAUUUCAACCCUAAUGUACGCUCGUUCUCGUUCGCGCCUAACAGAGACGUCUCCUCUUUACUGUUAACUACGUCAGAUAUUACCGCAGGAUUAUUCGAUGCGAAUCCGCGGAGCUCUAGUGACGCGCGCAUAUUUAGCUCGUAAAUAUCGUUUAAAACGCGUCUCGCGUCCUCCUCGCACAUGUCUAGGGCAAUUAACAUGUCCAUAUACGUAUUUUUUAUCGUUUUUUCAGCGGCGAUCGGGAAUACUUUGCUGUGCGUUUUUGCAUUUUCGUUUUUGACGUACAGAGCGGUUGUCGGUGACGCUGCCGAUCCAAUUAGUCGCUUCAUUCUGUAUUCUUGCGGUGGAGAGGUACGGUCCUCCCCCCUCCAAACGAAACGUAACGCAUCGCGAUCUUGCUCCCUUAUCUCAAUUUGUAAAAACAUCUCUUUGACGUCGGCUAUGACCGCGAUUUUGC